AUGGGGCGGCUGCCUGCUGCGUCGCGGCGUCUCGCGGCGGUGGCGGUGGCGAUUUUGUUGCUGGUCAUCGCGUCGGCGGCGGGGGCGGCGGAGGAGCGCGGGCAGAGGGGUGUGGCCGUGCGGCAGGGCGAUGGGCGGGGCAGCCACCACCGGCACGCGUACGCGGCGAUGAUGUACAUGGGGACGCCGCGGGACUACGAGUUCUACGUGGCGGUGCGCGUGAUGAUGCGCUCCCUCUCCAGGGUCGGCGCCGACGCCGACCGCGUCCUCAUCGCCUCCUCCGACGUGCCCCUCGACUGGGUCCGCGCAAUGAGGGAGGAGGAUGGCAUGAGGGUGGUGGUUGUCGAGAACCUGAAGAAUCCUUACGAGGGCAACCUUGGAGGAAUGAACAGGAGGUUUAAGCUGACACUGAACAAGCUCUACGCAUGGAGCUUGGUUGACUACGAGCGUGUCGUCAUGAUCGACUCCGACAACAUCUUCCUCCAGAACACCGAUGAGCUCUUCCAGUGCGGCCAGUUCUGUGCUGUUUUCAUCAAUCCAUGCUACUUCCACACCGGCCUUUUCGUGCUCCAGCCUUCUAUGGAUGUGUUUAAUGGCAUGCUUCAUGACCUGGAGAUUGGCCGUGACAACUCUGACGGUGCAGACCAAGGCUUCCUAGUCGGCUGCUUCCCAGACUUGUUGGACAAACCAUUGUUCCACCCUCCUGAAAAUGGCACCAAACUCAACGGAACAUAUCGCCUUCCUCUCGGCUAUCAGAUGGACGCAUCAUACUACUGUGAGCAUCUCUGCGCUUCGGCUCCAUUCUCUAACGUUCGUAUGGUUGCUUCCAAAGAUAUUUACCGACAUUUUACUGAAAUAUUGCAGAUCUUAAACUCCAUUGGCAUGUUCCAUGUUGGGCCUAACAGCGUGAUCACAUUCCCCAGUGCCCCUUGGUUUAAACCCUGGUACUGGUGGUCCUGGCCAAUCUUGCCACUGGGCCUUUCCUGGCACAAGCAACGCUGGGAUGAUCUUGGUUAUGCUGCUGAAAUUCCUGUGGUCCUCAUGGAGCUGCUAAUGUACAUAGCGAUCAUAGCCAUCACCAGAUUGGCAAGGCCACAGAUGACAAAACUGUGCUAUAAUCGGCGACCUGAGAAACAAGGUGCCCUGGUGCAGUGGCUAAUCAAGCUGGCCGGUAUUGUGGCCAUGGUGGCCGCAUAUACAAUCCCGUUCUUUGUAAUCCCAUGCACAGUUCAUCCCAUCAUGGGUUGGUCCAUGUACCUGUUUGGUGUCCUCGCCUUCUCAUCGGUCGUGAUCAAUGCAUUCCUGCUCCCACCGCUUGCCGUGCUCACUGCAUGGCUUGGGAUUGUUGGGAUGCUCUUUGUCAUGGCAUUCCCAUGGUACCAUGACGGCAUCGCGAGGAUUCUGGUGGUCGUCGCCUAUGCGUUUUGCUCUGCACCAUUCCUGUGGGCAUCUGUCGUAAGGGUGAUGGACUCAUUGCAAACAAUGCUUGAGAGGGAUCCACACUUCCCCCGGCUCGGUGACCCGGCACCUGAGACUGAAUUUAGCAAACUGUACUGA
This 1557-nucleotide ribosomal RNA is filed under the name Triticum aestivum (bread wheat). RNAcentral's name for it is "partial small subunit ribosomal RNA". Lineage: Eukaryota; Viridiplantae; Streptophyta; Magnoliopsida; Poales; Poaceae. The record is from RNAcentral.